GACGAACGCUGGCGGCGUGCUUAACACAUGCAAGUCGAACGGAAAGGCCCUGCUUUUGUGGGGUGCUCGAGUGGCGAAAGGGUGAAUAAGACGUGAGUAACCUGCCCUUGACUUUGGGAUCACUUCAGGAAACUGGGGAUAAUACCGGAUAGGAGCUCCAGCUGCAUGGUGGGGGUUGGAAAGUUUCGGAGGUUGGGGAUGGACUCGCGGCUUAUCAGCUUGUUGUUGGGGUAGUGGCUUACCAAGGCUUUGACGGGUAGCCGGCCUGAGAGGGUGACCGGCCACAUUGGGACUGAGAUACGGCCCAGACGCCGACGGGAGGCAGCAGUGGGGAAUAGUGCACAAUGGGCGGAAGUCUGAUGCAGCAACGCCGCGUGCGGGAUGACGGCCUUCUGGUGGUAAACCGCUUUCGCCUUUGACGAAGCGUUAGUGACGGUAAUGGGUAAAGAAGCACCGGCUAACUACGUG
Molecule: ribosomal RNA, 468 nt
Filed under: uncultured bacterium
Lineage: Bacteria
Description: partial 16S ribosomal RNA
Rfam family: Bacterial small subunit ribosomal RNA
Source: RNAcentral